RNAcentral lists this unclassified non-coding RNA (470 nucleotides) under Hevea brasiliensis (rubber tree). The record is from RNAcentral. Lineage: Eukaryota; Viridiplantae; Streptophyta; Magnoliopsida; Malpighiales; Euphorbiaceae.
GAGAAAAGCCAAGAAAGCAUAGAGAUUUUGUAUAAGAGAUUGGAUUCCAGGUCCCUUGUAUCUUUCUGAUUCUUGUCUUGCACCAAUUACCUAAAGUAUAUACAUAACCAACCAAAAAACGAAAAGGUGAAAAGAGUAAAGGGAUAUCCACAUUUUAUUCUACCAGAAACCAAAAACCUUGACGAUAUAGGGCAAACCAGCCACUUCCACGUGGUACCCUUAAGAGAACAUUCUCAAUAAUAUGGAUACUAUAGGUAAAAAGAAGAAAUAUAUAUACAACCUAUUCUUUCUUUAUAUGAGAAUAAAUUAUUGGGUUCAGCAAUAUGUAUAUGAAGCCACCGACCCAGUUUGGUCCGGUAGUGUUAAAAAGCUUAGAAAAUCAGAAUUGAAGUGUCAUAUAGGACAAUGGAGUAAAAUUACUAAAAUGGUUAAUUAAUAUACUUUUUUUUUAUACUUUAUGUGAAAUAAAC